CAAUAGCGUAUAUUAAAGUUGUUGCGGUAAAAAAGCUCGUAGUUGGAUUUCUACCGAAGAUAGCCGGUCGGGUCUUCGACCUUGUAUCUGGUUUUGUCGUUGGUAUCCUCAUAGGGAACGUUUCUGCGCUUUAUUGCGUGGUGCGGUAUCUAUGACUUUUACUUUGAGGAAAUUAGAGUGUUCACGGCAGGCAAACGCCUUGAAUAUAUUAGCAUGGAAUAAUAACAUAGGAUCUUCGUCCUAUUUUGUUGGUUUCUAGGGCUAAGAUAAUGAUUAAUAGGGAUAAUUGGGGGCAUCUGUAUCAACGCGUCAGAGGUGGAAUUCUUGGAUUGCGUUGCGACAAACUACUGCGAAAGCAUUUGCCAAGGAUGUUUUCAUUGA
Molecule: ribosomal RNA, 381 nt
Filed under: uncultured eukaryote
Lineage: Eukaryota
Description: partial 18S ribosomal RNA
Rfam family: Eukaryotic small subunit ribosomal RNA
Source: RNAcentral